Molecule: ribosomal RNA, 253 nt
Filed under: uncultured prokaryote
Description: partial 16S ribosomal RNA
Rfam family: Bacterial small subunit ribosomal RNA
Source: RNAcentral
ACAGAGGGUGCGAGCGUUGUUCGGAAUUAUUGGGCGUAAAGGGCGCGUAGGCGGCGCCACAAGUCACCUGUGAAAUCUCCCGGCUUAACCUGGGAACUGCGUCUGAUACUGGACGGCUUGAGUAUGGGAGAGGGAUGUAGAAUUCCAGGUGUAGCGGUGAAAUGCGUAGAUAUCUGGAGGAAUACCGGUGGCGAAGGCGGCAUCCUGGACCAUUACUGACGCUGAUGCGCGAAAGCUAGGGGAGCAAACGGGA